Molecule: ribosomal RNA, 421 nt
Filed under: uncultured bacterium
Lineage: Bacteria
Description: bacterial SSU rRNA
Rfam family: Bacterial small subunit ribosomal RNA
Source: RNAcentral
UCGAGGAUCUUCGGCAAUGGGCGAAAGCCUGACCGAGCGACGCCGCGUGCGGGAUGAAGGCCCUCGGGUUGUAAACCGCUGUCAGUGGGGAGGAAGGCUCUGUGAAGAGCAGGGUUUGACCUAUCCGCAGAGGAAGUCCGGGCUAAGUUCGUGCCAGCAGCCGCGGUAACACGAACCGGACAAACGUUAUUCGGAAUCACUGGGCUUAAAGGGUGCGUAGGCGGUCUGACAAGUUGGGUGUGAAAUCCCUCGGCUCAACCGAGGAAUUGCGCUCAAAACUGUUGGACUCGAGGGAGUUAGAGGUAAGCGGAACUUAGGGUGGAGCGGUGAAAUGCGUUGAUAUCCUAAGGAACACCAGUGGCGAAAGCGGCUUACUGGAGCUCUUCUGACGCUGAGGCACGAAAGCUAGGGGAGCGAACGG